GAAGAAGGAGCCAGGAGAGCUCAAACCCUAGUUCAACAAAUCCUCCAAAUCGAAGCUCAAAUCAAGCCCGAAUCGUCUGCAUGAUUACAAAUUCGUGAUCGCCUAGUCGUGGGGAUCAUAAGUUGACUCUAAACAAGCUAGGUGGGAGCUUGAAAAGGAACGGGUCAAACGGAUCAUGGAUGCGAAGAAUGUUUGCGCGGACGCGAGGACACUUGCGUUUAAAGAUGACAAAGGUUAAACAAAUUAAAGAUGUGAUAGAGGAACAGUCCGAGGCAUGACGAGAGGAACAUGCUCACUAAGGACUAAAUCGCGUAAAGACCGCGAACAAGGUUAAUGGCAAGAAACGCCCGUCGGGGCAAGCAUUAUCAGGUGCGUGCUUUUAAAUAUAAUCGCGCAAUUAGCAAUGUGCAACAAACAUGUAAAGAAUGAUUGUCGCAUAUGUAAAUUAGAAACUUGGGAAACCUGAAUAGAAUACCUAUCCAGGAUAUUAUCUCCAAGAAAACUAAAUAGAGGUGUUACUUACAUGGGGUGUGAUGUGAAAACUAUAAAAAGGUCAUGUAUGUCAUGUGUUAAUCGCUUACUCUGGCCAAGUAAGUAGUGGCAUAUGAUACCAUGAGUUUCUUAUAGCGGACACAUUAUAUCUGAUGUAGUAAGGACGGGGUAAAUGGGACAAAUUAAAAAGUACCCAAAAGAAUCAAGUGAGCAAAAUAUUUGAUAAUAAUGUAAACGCACAGCCGAGUGACGGAAGCGUAUUACAUUAAGAUAAUGAGCCCGAGUGAAGGGACAAAGAAACACGUAAGAUGAUCAGAAUACGUAUCGGGAGGGGGGGUGUACUUACACUCGAACCCGGAAAAUGCAAAUAUGUAAAAUGAUGUAGACAUGUAUUAGGAGGGGUGUACUUACACUCGAACCCGGAAAAUGCAAAUAUGUAAAAUGAUGUAGACAUGUAUUGGGAGGGGGUGUACUUACACUCGAACCCGGAAAAUGCAAACAUGUAAAAUGAUGUAGACAUGUAUUGGGAGGGGGUGUACUUACACUCGAACCCGAAGAAUAUAAACAUGUAAAAUGAUCAAGAUAUGCAUUGGGAGGUAGUGUACUUACACUCGAACCCGAAGAAUGCAAAUAAGACUCUUAACGGGCCGAUUUUGUAAAACACCAAAUUUGAGAACAAAGUAGGAAUAUAAAAGCGAAACGAAGUCAUAAUGCAUACCGUAAGGGUUGCAAUAAUAACGACUUCGGUAAAACACCCGGUUGGUGGGUAAGGAUUUAAACACAUGCGUAGACUGAGAAACAGGAACGCGCAUGGAAAGUCAAAAGACUCGGGUUUUGGGUCAUGACCAAAGGACGAUAAGAUAACGGCAAAUAGAAAUUUUGAUGAAUUACGCUCAACUAUUUUAAAGUUGAACGGGUCGAACAAAAAUUGAAGUUUGACAUUUAUAAGUGAUGAAAUUUUCAGACGAACAAGUCAAACA
Molecule: long non-coding RNA, 1472 nt
Filed under: Helianthus annuus (common sunflower)
Lineage: Eukaryota; Viridiplantae; Streptophyta; Magnoliopsida; Asterales; Asteraceae
Description: hypothetical non coding rna
Source: RNAcentral